RNAcentral lists this ribosomal RNA (253 nucleotides) under uncultured bacterium. RNAcentral describes it as "partial 16S ribosomal RNA". It matches the Rfam family "Bacterial small subunit ribosomal RNA", at positions 524 to 776 of the family's 1533-position model. The record is from RNAcentral.
UACAGAGGUCCCAAGCGUUGUUCGGAUUUACUGGGCGUAAAGCGCACGUAGGCGGGUUGUUAAGUCAGGGGUGAAAUCCUGGAGCUCAACUCCAGAACUGCCUUUGAUACUGGCAACCUAGAGGCUGGAAGAGGUUAGUGGAAUUCCCAGUGUAGAGGUGAAAUUCGUAGAUAUUGGGAAGAACACCAGUGGCGAAGGCGGCUAACUGGUCCAGAUCUGACGCUGAGGUGCGAAAGCGUGGGGAGCAAACAGG